CGUCAGUGGGUUGUUUUUGGAACCAGGGCGCAGCAAUAAAGUUGCUAAAAAUCAAUUAUUUAAAAAAAUAAUUUCGUCUUGCGUCUUUAAAAAAAAGAGGGGCUGAUGGAAACAGGGCAGUGCAAUCCGCGCAUAUGCAUUUGGCAGGAGAGGCCAACCAAUGAUAUCGUAGUCUCGGGGUUCCUCCGCGUCAUUUUGGCGGUAAAGCCUCAGGUUUUGUAUGGAAAUUAUGAUCAUGAUGACAACGAGUCGCUGAUUCAGAGUGCAAUACGCUUAAGGGCAUUUAAAGAGUUUGGGAUGGGCUGACAUUUUCAAUUUUCAAUGUAUCGCAGGUAAUGUAGGAUUCCCGUCGAUUAAUUCACUUCAUUUACACAAAAAAAAAGUAUUAAAAUGUGAUUUGAUGCAUCUCAACAAUGAAGGCACACGCACGAGAAAGGCUGCAGAUCCUCCUGUCGAUGUGGCCAUGAACAGAUCGUGCUGAUGCAUCGACAGACCACUCAUCCAGGUAUCAUUUUUCAUACCUGAAUCCCAGGAGAUAAUUGCAGAGGAAAAAAAUUGCAGUCACCCAGAAAGGAGAAGAGUAUGUCAAAUUGGAAUGCUCUUUUAGAAUGCACAGAUGAUGGGAUGAAUAACUCGCUACUCUGCUCUCAUUUAAUGGCAACAUUGCAGGACCAUAUGCAAGUGACAUAAACAUUAGUGCUAUGGUGGAUAGAGAAAAAGGUUGUCUCAGGUUACAACAGAAUAUGGAUCAAUUGGAAAAUUGGGUAAGUUAGUGGAAUUUAACUCGUUCAAGGUGAUGUAUUUUGGAAAAUUAAACCGGAACAGGACAUACACAGUGAAAAGCAGAGCCUUGGGGAGUGUUAUUAAACUGAGGGACCUUGAGGUGCAUGUACAUAGUUCCUGAAAAUGGCAACCUAAUAGACAGGGUGGUGACAAUGGUAUAUGCCAUAAUUAUAUGAAACAUUUAAGUAUAAGAAUUGGACAUUCAUGUUAUAGUUGUACAAAAUGUUGGUUAUGCUGCACCUGGAACAUUUUAUGAAGUUCUGAUUGCCAAACUAAAGGAAGGAUGUGAUUAAGCUAAAGAGGGUGCAGAAUACAUACACAAGGAUGUCACCUGGAUCGUAAGACUUGUUUGGAGAGAUUGGGGAAUGGAGGAGGUUUAAAGGGGAUCUGAGAAUGUUUCACAUAGAGUAGUCUGAAUGAGCUGCCAUAAGAGGAGAUGGAGACAGGAACAGUACCAACAUGUAAGAGGCAUCUGGACGGGUACCUGAAUGAGAAAUGAGUGGGUGAUGAAAUUAAUGCAGGCAAGUGUGAUUGGUAUAGAUAGUCAUGCUGGCUGGCCUGUCUCUGUGCUGUGUGAAUACUUUGACUCUGUUUGCAGUACAAUAGUCUGAAUCUCAGCUAUGCUUGAAUGUGCAAAAGACUAAUUGUCUGUUUGCUGUUAGCAGCCUUGUGAUAGCCAAUAUCAGAUCAUCAUUGGAGCAUGAACACCCAUCUUGGGCAGACGGCACAUACGGCAGAGGCCAGUGACUCUCAAGGAAGUAGAAAAGAAAAUAAUCCUAAAAGAGACUCUGGAUGCGAGUUGGAAAAUUUGACCAGAUGACCAUUUUUUGCAUAACAAAUGAAAAAUAAAUAAAUAAAAACAGAAAACUACACAUGCUGUAAAUCUCCUGAUUCAGGAUCUGGACUCUCAACAGCAACUGUCCCUUUGCCCCCACGGAUGCUGCUUGACCUGCUGAGUUCUCCCAGCAGCUGCGGUCUCUUGUGCCUAUCAAUUUCAGUGUGACCUUGCUGUGAGUAUUACAGAUUUAUGUACAUUCGUGUUUCUACUAUACCACGUUUAGAGUAAAUGCAAAAUGAAAUUCAUCCAGUGCCAUUUCUCCAUGCAUUUUAUGGAACAUUACAACCAAUCUUGAUCUGCCUCUUUCUAGGUUGGGGGUUGGAUGAGUGACUGGUUGUUAUUUAAUUUUAUCUGCUUGGCUCUUAUUUUAUUUCCAAGGGUCAAUGACAGGGAAUGUUGCCGACUGGACUACUCCGGACUGCAGGAAUACAUGCUGAGGGACGCACUGAAGCUUGGUGCAGUCAACACCAAGGCUCUGCGGGGGACGGCCACUGUUCAGGGUCCUUUUGCAGCUGGACAUUGGGGGGCAGGGUGUUAUGAGACACCCCUCAAAUGAAAGAAAGAAUGUCACCCCAGGGGGCCACAGGAGUGGAAAGGGUGCCGGGUGAAAUAUUUGUGAACACUACAAUACGACGCAAAUGAAUGUAUUAAUAAUCUCUGAGAAUGUCGGAAGAAUUUUUGCACAGUUCUUGUUUUGUAGGUAUUUUUUAUUCCGAAUAAAGUUUUAUUUUAAUUUA
Molecule: long non-coding RNA, 2358 nt
Organism: Amblyraja radiata (thorny skate)
Lineage: Eukaryota; Metazoa; Chordata; Chondrichthyes; Rajiformes; Rajidae
Exons: 4
Source: RefSeq, a predicted model, not a curated record